This 253-nucleotide ribosomal RNA is filed under the name uncultured bacterium. RNAcentral describes it as "partial 16S ribosomal RNA". It matches the Rfam family "Bacterial small subunit ribosomal RNA", at positions 524 to 776 of the family's 1533-position model. The record is from RNAcentral.
UACGUAGGGACCAAGCGUUGUCCGGAAUCAUUGGGCGUAAAGCGCGCGUAGGCGGCCCGGUAAGUCCGUUGUAAAAGUCGAAGGCUCAACCUUCGAAAGCCGAUGGAUACUGCCGGGCUAGAGUACGGAAGAGGCGAGUAGAAUUCCUGGUGUAGCGGUGAAAUGCGCAGAUAUCUGGAGGAACACCGGUGGCGAAGGCGGCAUCCUGGACCGGUAUUGACGCUGAGGAGCGAAAGCCAGGGGAGCAAACGGG